RNAcentral lists this ribosomal RNA (483 nucleotides) under uncultured bacterium. RNAcentral's name for it is "partial 16S ribosomal RNA". It matches the Rfam family "Bacterial small subunit ribosomal RNA", at positions 30 to 507 of the family's 1533-position model. The record is from RNAcentral.
AUUGAACGCUGGCGGCAGGCCUAACACAUGCAAGUCGAGCGGAUGAAGGGAGCUUGCUCCUGGAUUCAGCGGCGGACGGGUGAGUAAUGCCUAGGAAUCUGCCUGGUAGUGGGGGAUAACGUCCGGAAACGGGCGCUAAUACCGCAUACGUCCUGAGGGAGAAAGUGGGGGAUCUUCGGACCUCACGCUAUCAGAUGAGCCUAGGUCGGAUUAGCUAGUUGGUGGGUAAAGGCCUACCAAGGCGACGAUCCGUAACUGGUCUGAGAGGAUGAUCAGUCACACUAGAACUGAGACACGGUCCAGACUCCUACGGGAGGCAGCAGUGGGGAAUAUUGGACAAUGGGCGAAAGCCUGAUCCAGCCAUGCCGCGUGUGUGAAGAAGGUCUUCGGAUUGUAAAGCACUUUAAGUUGGGAGGAAGGGCAGUAAGUUAAUACCUUGCUGUUUUGACGUUACCAACAGAAUAAGCACCGGCUAACUUCGUG